RNAcentral lists this ribosomal RNA (433 nucleotides) under uncultured bacterium. RNAcentral describes it as "partial 16S ribosomal RNA". It matches the Rfam family "Bacterial small subunit ribosomal RNA", at positions 29 to 507 of the family's 1533-position model. The record is from RNAcentral.
AACGAACGCUGGCGGCAGGCUUAACACAUGCAAGUCGAGCGGGCCCUUCUGGGUCUUCUGCAGACGGGUGAGGAACACGUGGGAACGUACCCGUUUGUUCGGUAUAACUCUGUGAGGGUAACGCUAAUACCGGAUACGCCCUUUUGGGGAAAGACUUGCUGCCGCAGGAUCGGGCCGCGUCUGAUUAGCUAGUUGGUGAGGUAAUGGCCUACCGAGGCUACGUUGAGUAGCUGGUGUGGGAAGAUGACCCACAACCCUGGGAGUGAGACCCGGACCAGACUGUUAGGGGUGGAAGCAGGGGGGAAUAUUGGACACUGGGCGCAAGAAUGAUCCAGCCAUGCCGCGUGAGUCAGGAAGGCGUUAGGGUUGUAAAUCUGUGUUGUACGGGACGAUAGUGACGGUAACGGACGAAUAAGCCCCGGCUAACUACGUG